Lolium perenne is the source of this 1267-nucleotide non-coding RNA. NCBI's taxonomy places the organism in Eukaryota, Viridiplantae, Streptophyta, Magnoliopsida, Poales, Poaceae. The record is from RefSeq and is a predicted model, not a curated record.
UUUCCCCUGACGGUGGAGCCCACGUUUUAUCUCCAACCUUCAGCCAGAAGUCUAUGCACGACACGGAAACAAACUGGAAACAAGUUCCACAAAAAUCUCACCAAAGCUGUUGAAUUUGCCACGGAUUUUUGCGCCUAUAUAUACCCCCAUAUAUCCUCUGUAUAUUGACCCUAAAAUCCUCAAUUUUUGCGCCGCCAGGCUGCGCGAAUUUCUCGCCGGAGUUCGAUGCUGCCGCCGCCAUUGGAGCUCAUAACCGGAGGGCACUAGGACGCGGAGAAAGCAUCGCCGGAGUUCAUCGCUGCCCGGGCCGCUCCAGCCGCCCGUCACCGCUGUUCGAGGAAGACGCAAAUACCUCCGAGCACGCCACCUUGACAGCCACGUCCAGCCGCACCUCGUUCACCAACUCGCCGCAGUCGUAAACCAUCCAAAGACGCCAAGAAGCAUCGCGUCCGAGCCGUCCUACCACCACCUCGGGCCGUCUGUGCCAUUAUCGUGCGGUGUGUAACGUCUGUUCUUGCAAAGAGAGUGCGAACGACAACGACAAAUAAGGCAAGUUGAACUUUUGAUCAUAACAUAUCUAUUGUUUUUCUAUACGUGUAGUAUGAUUUUAGUACAAGUACAUGUGUAGGAUUGUGACUGAUGAAUUGUGUGCUAUUGCUAUUAAACCCGGCUUAGGAUAGCCAUAUGUUUUUAUGAUUGGAUUCAUUUGUAGUCAACCUAUGUUUGAUUGCUUGGAUAUGCUUGCUUUAUAUGUGAGUGGAAUAUCAUGUCAUGGGUAUGUAUUAGUUGAAAGGUUAGUUUUGAGUUGACAAAACAAUUACUGGAUGAAUUGGGGCGGAUAUGAAUAGUACUUGAGAAGGUUGUAGGUCGACCGACAUAGUAAGGGCUUUGAUCCUGACUUACUGACAUGUAUAGGUCGAGUGGCAUGGUAAGGGCGUUGAGCCUGACUUACUAACAUGUACACUGGUGGUGGCAUGGUAAGGGUAUUGAGCCUGACUUGCUGACAUGUACACUAGUGGAAUGGAGAUUGGCAUGGCAAGGGCAUUGAGCCUGACUUACUGACAUGAGCAAUGAAGAAAAGGAGAUUAGCAUGAUAGGGGCCCCGAGCUUGGCCUACUCACAUGUGCACUAUAGGAGUUCGGAGAUUAAAACCGCUGGGAUAAAAACUAGGAUGAUAAUAUGAUUGCUUUGUGCCAAAUAAAAGUUUGAACUCUCGCCUUGAAAAUGUAUUUGAUAGGUUCACCGCCUUCGUGUAGCAUCCAUGGAA